AUUGAACGCUGGCGGCAUGCCUUACACAUGCAAGUCGAACGGCAGCGGGGGAGAAGCUUGCUUUUCCUGCCGGCGAGUGGCGAACGGGUGAGUAAUACAUCGGAACGUGCCCUGUAGUGGGGGAUAACUAGUCGAAAGAUUAGCUAAUACCGCAUACGACCUGAGGGUGAAAGUGGGGGACCGCAAGGCCUCAUGCUAUAGGAGCGGCCGAUGUCUGAUUAGCUAGUUGGUGGGGUAAAGGCCUACCAAGGCGACGAUCAGUAGCUGGUCUGAGAGGACGAUCAGCCACACGGGGACUGAGAAACGGCCCAGACUCCUACGGGAGGCAGCAGUGGGGAAUUUUGGACAAUGGGCGAAAGCCUGAUCCAGCAAUGCCGCGUGUGUGAAGAAGGCCUUCGGGUUGUAAAGCACUUUUGUCCGGAAAGAAAUGGCUCUGGUUAAUACCUGGGGUCGAUGACGGUACCGGAAGAAUAAGGACCGGCUAACUACGUGCCAGCCGCCGCCGUAA
This 508-nucleotide ribosomal RNA is filed under the name uncultured bacterium. RNAcentral's name for it is "partial 16S ribosomal RNA". It matches the Rfam family "Bacterial small subunit ribosomal RNA", at positions 30 to 523 of the family's 1533-position model. The record is from RNAcentral.